UUUAACCUUCUCAGCUUUGUUGCUUUUCUUGUCUCGCUGACUGACGUUGCCGACUGUGUUUUGUGCAGGAGUGGACAAACUGGCAUUCCGCAGUCUCGAACGAGAAUCCAGUCGAGGAAGAGGAGGGCAGCAUGGAGGGCAGCGUGGAUAGCGCCGAGUACGUCUCUGACAGUGGGGAGACGGAGGAGGAUACGGAAGAGGAGGAGGAGGAGAGUGGAGAGCAGAGCUCGUCACCCUCACCACCAGAGCACCGAACCAAGCGCCGUCAUGACCCCGCUUCUCCGCCGGCUCCUUCCGCAGCCCCGAAUGCUCCGCCAGCUCCUCCCGUGGCUCCGAGUGCUCGGAGUGUGAAGAGAACCAGGGGUGCUUCUGCCGAGCCCGUGAACCAGCCGUCCAAGGUGGCUAAACCUAGUGGGCCUAAACCUCGGAAAGCCUUGCCCCGGAUGAGGAUCGUUGUUCCGGUCGCCUCAGCGUAAGUAUCUUUACUCUUUCAUCUUCCUUCAGUAUCCGAUUGAAUUCCUCUUUUUGGGAACUCAUGUUUAUCCGUCGAGUGGAUUUCACUCAACAGAGUUGCUACCUUCGCCACCUCUCUGCCGCGCCAGGAUGAUGAUCCCAUGGACACGGAUAAUGCUGCCACGUCCCGGCAAGGUACGUUGUCACAACUCUGAGAGCUGUAUUACUGUUUCGCGAGUGCUGUCUUUCAUCUUGACCUUUUUCUGUAAUUUUAUUUUGUUCAGUCGGGCUUCCUUCGAAGGGGAUCCAUCUAGACGACGACGACUAAAGGAGGUCGGAGCCAGCUUUGGCGCCUGUCCCUAGGGUUAUCUAACCUGCUGCCAAUCCCACCAUGAACGUGCCGCCGACUGAGACGGUGGCCCUCACGGCGGAACCGACUGGACCAGAGCUCGGGAUGCCCAGGGAGCCUUCUGCCACGUCGGGUCCGUCGGUUGUUCAAUAUGAUGCCUGACGCCUCCCGGAAGAUCAAGUAGGAGCUGCCAAGGACGCCAUGGUACAAGUAGAGCAGAUGGUGGGUGAUGCCAAGGGAGCGUAUGACUCCAUCGUAUCCCUGUACAAGAAGAGCUUGGAGCUUCGGGAUGAUAUCCGAGUAAGUGCGCUAGUAAGUGUUUACAUUCCUCUUGGUACCACUGGGGGUUUCAGCAAUAUACUUGGAUACAGUAGGAUGAUUUUGCAGUGGGUUCACUCCGAGUGAACCCAGUGGGUGUAGUCCCCGAGACUUCUGCCGAGUGCUUGCGCCGGCAGUUGUCUUUAUAUGUAUUUUUCCAUAAUCUGUACAGAUCAGAGCUGAUCUGCCCGAAUGGUACCAGUGGGGGCACGCCGAGUGCACCCACUGGGUGUAGUCCCCGAGAGUAGUGUUACUCGGGUUGAGUAAUAGUAAUUUCAUACUGUUGUUGGCUUGUUAUGGAGCUCAAUAGGGCCGACCUGUUCGAGCUUCAUGCCAGUGGGGUCACUCUCAGUGAACCCACUGGGUGUAGUCCCCGAGACCGCUGUCCAUUUCUUGCAUCGGCACGGGUCUGAAGAAUUUUGAGCUUUGAUUGUUUUGUCAUAUCUGUCGAGACUUUUUCCUUGUUGAAUGUGGCUGAUCCUCCCUUUGUGUCUCUUUGACAGAAGACUUGUGAAAUGGGAUCGGCGUACAAUGCUCUGAAGGCUGAGAAGACUCAACUUGUUGCGGACUUGGAGGUGGCUGUGAAUGAACUGGCUCGCGUGAAGAAGGCUCUUACUGACCGAGGGAAAUCUUUGGAGGAAUCUCGGGAGGCUAACAAGGCACUGCUAGCCGAGGUAGAAAAAAUGAAGAGGGAGAGAUCCGAAUGGAUGGGCUAGCUGAAGGUGGUGAACACUCGGUGCAGAGCGCAGGAGAACUACGUCGGCGACUGGGCAAAGAAGAUGGUCGCACUGCUUGGUGGUAAGUUCUUGCCGAGUGCUUUUUGACUUCGGAGUUCACUCCGCGCUUAUUUUCUGUUUGUCUUUUCUUUGCAGAUUUCUGUCGGGACGUUGAGGCCAAAACAGCCGAAAUUGAGCGGUCGCUUGUUCCGAAUGUCCCACUCGGCGAUGAAGCUAACCGGGACAUGUUCCGAGUGCAUUCUCACCUUAACAGGGUGGGCCCUUUCAUUGGUCGCCUGAGAAGAGUUGUUGGCCGAAUCGACAAGGAGUUGUGGCCUGAAGACGACUCCCAGAACGAUAUAGAGGGGUUGAUGACUCGACUGGAGGGCGUUCCAAGCAGAGUGCAGGCAUGGAAGAAGUCUGCCGCUCGGUGUGGUGCGGACGUGGCGCUGUCUCUGGUCCGAGUGCACUGCAAGGAAGCCCGUGAAGACAAGUUGAAGACGUUGCAGGUCGCCAACACCAAGAAGCUUCGAUUUGAAGAUUUCAUGGAGACCUUCCUCGACACAGCUACUCGGAUUACAGAUGGAAUCAACCUCGACACCUUUGUGGAGCCUGCCAGUCACGGCGACGCUUGAUAAACUUUAUGCUGAACGCACAUUUACAUCGGUAUGCCGAGUGGAGUCUGUAUUAAACUUUGGCCACUGCCGUUGGCUGGUACAUUCAUGGUUCGGUGUGGAUAAACUUGAUUCACACCGAGCCGAUUGAUCGCAGAUCCAGCUUGAAUUCGAAUCGGAUCUUUUGCUCUUCUUUCGCUGAGUUUUUUUGACACGAUUUUGGCUCGUGGUUUUUGUUUGGGCAUCUCUUGGUGAAGCCAAUGGCAACCAUGCGGAGCAUGUAUUUGUCAGUUGUCUUCACAUCCACAUGAGCCUCAAUGAGGGUCUGAUAAGCCUCCGAGUGUAUCUCGAGUGCCCACUCGGAGGAAGCUUUUUACUUAGGCGACUCCGGUUCGCAUCUAAGUCUCCGACUGUUACUUGAAAUGCACACCCGGAGCAAGUUUGUUUACUUCGGCGACUCUGAGUCGCGGCUAAGUCCCCGAGUGUGACUUUUGGUCCACACUCAAAACGAGUUUUUACUUAGGCGACUCUGGGUCGCAGCUAAGUCCCCGAGUGUGACUUUUAGUGCACACUCGGAGCAAUUUUUUACUUAGGCAACUCUGGGUCACAGCUAAGUCCCCGAGUGUGACUUUUAGUGCACACUCGGAGCGAGUUUUUUACUUAGGCGACUCUGAGUCGUAGCUAAGUCCCCGAGUGUGACUUUUGGUGCACACUCGGAGCAAGUUGUUUACUUAGGCGACUCUGGGUCGCAGCUAAGUCUCCGAGUGUGACUUUURGUGCACACUCGGAGCGAGUUGUUUACUUAGGCGACUCUGGGUCGCAGCUAAGUCCCCGAGUGUGACUUUURGUGCACACUCGGAGCGAGUUUGUUAGUUAGGCGACUCUGGGUCGCAGCUAAGUCUCUGAGUGUUACUUUUGGCGCACACUNNNNNNNNNNNNNNNNNNNNNNNNNNNNNNNNNNNNNNNNNNNNNNNNNNNNNNNNNNNNNNNNNNNNNNNNNNNNNNNNNNNNNNNNNNNNNNNNNNNNUAUAUAUAUAUAUAUAUAUAUAUAUAUAUAUAUAUAGACACACACACGUUGCGAGAGAAAAAGAAAAUCAUGGAUGGACGGCACCACAACGAAACCACACCCAUCUCCUUCUCCCUCCUCUCGUCUCACAUCUUCUUGCGUUCUCCUCUUUCCUACUCCCUCCCUCAAAAUAUAUUGGUCAUAGAAAUAAGUGUAUCUAGAUGUAUUUAGUUUUAGACACAUCCAAUUUUAUUUAUUUAUGCGUCAAGUAAUUCUGAACGAAGGGGGUAUGUUUGUGGUCGAGCACUUGAGAAAGAUGAAGCGGCAGAGCGAGAGGUUGAGACGAUAAUGGGCACCCAUGACCUUUGACCUAUGUGUCGGAGCCAAAGUCGACGACUAUAUGGCUAGUCAUGGCGAAGACGAAGACUGGGACUGAGCUGAAGGUGGUGGCAUCGACAAAAGCAAGGAAGAAACCUAGCGGUAAGACAAGGAGCAUGCGGAUGCCGAAGUUGAUCCACUGCCCUCCAUACCUAGAAGGGAUAGGCGAGGCAACGACAAAAGGCGAGGGUGAAGGAAAGAUGAAUAAAUGGACAUGGUUAGACGGUGAAGCGGGCGGUGCCAAGGACUCUAGGAUGAGUGGCGAUAUGGAGAGCACUGAUAACUUAGCCAUUGACAUAGCUUGUACAACCGUCGACAUUGACGCGCGAGAGUUCCUUCAUGGUCGAUCACCAACUAGCUAUUCCGAGUACAUUGUUUAAAAUACCAUUAGAGGGGAGAGAGAGGGAUAGCCGGAAUAGUUGUUGUAUUGCUUGAGCCUCAUGAGCACAUAUAUAUAGGAGUACAACGACCAACUUGAAGUACAAGACAAGGUAGGAUAAAUCCUAGUCUAUCUCAUAUUUCCUAAUAAUCAAUAUACUCAACAUCCCCCGCAGUCACAACGGUAGCGACACAUACAAUGAGAUUGGAGAAGAAUUCAAAGGUAAGCCAACGGUCACCCCCCCACACACACAGUCGUAACGGUCGAUGCACCGCGGAAGUUGUGGCUAGAGUGGAAACCGACGAGGUUGCGCAAGCAAGGCGGUAGCCCUUUGGGCCGAUGUUGAGGUAGCCGUGUGAAGAACACCGUGGUCGAUGCAGAGUCGGAGUAGCUGGUGUCGAGGAAGUCGUUGUGAAGCCACGGGCGCAAGGAGGCGCCGAUUGGUGGUGUGGAAGUAGUGGUGCGCUGGGAACAAGACGUAGUUGAGACACGUCGUGUCGGGUUUGCCAAGCCCGGGGACGCAUCAUGGAUGAAAGCACACAUCGGUGUUGCUAGCACCGGGCAUGCAUAAACGGACGAAGUCGAUGUUGGCAAUGCGCCGCUCCAGUCUUUCCAGGCCUGGGAGCACAUCGGGGACGAAAGCACGCGACGGUGCUGCCAUCAUCGGGCAUGCGUAGACGGGGACCUGCACAAAACUUGUAUGCCAUGUCGAGGAGGCUAGCAGAGAAGGACUCGAUGAUGGUUGCGACACAAAUAGGUGGGGGGCAUGUUUCUCGCGGUGGUCGGAGUAGACGAAGUGGUCGGGGUAGACGAUGACAACACCGAUGAUGAGCUGGUGCUGGACGGAGAUGAAGGGGGUGGACAUGCAGCGCGGCUCGGGUGAGCGAGCUACAACGGCGCCGAAGGAGAGUGGCGGCGGCGGCCUGACGGCGGCGACAAUGGCUAGUUAGGAGCGCGACGGUGAUGCUCGAAAGGCGAGGAAGAACCCGACAGUGUGACGAAGACCGGCGCGGACGAUGGCGUUCCCACGCCGACGGAGAUGGAGCGACACAUACCACAAGAAGUCGACGCGCGGGGAUGGCGGAGUGGACCGCGCACCGCGGCGCUACGACCCGAUGGGCGAUGAAGCGACAAUGCGUGGGUCGGGGCGAUGACGGGAAGACCUCGGGGCGGCGGCGUGGACCGCGACGGGACGGCCCAAGGGGCGGCGUAGCGGCGGUGCGUGGGACGGUGCAGCCAUGGGGAUGGUCUCGGGCGGCGGCGGCGACCGCGUGUCAUGGCGCUACAAUCCGAAGAGGCGAUGUAGCGGUGACUCAGGGGCCGCGAGGACUGCGUGUUGCGACAGUACAACCCAAAGGGGCGAUGUAGCGGCAAUGCCGAGUCGGUGCAGCCGCGGGAGAACCAAGGGGCAACGACGCUGCGACUCAACAGGGCGACACGGCGGCAACUUGAUGCUCGAUCGGUGAAGGGCACGUUGUACUCGAGACAAUCUUCAUGGGACUUGUGGAGGCGCCCGUGACCGACGAGACAGAUCGGUCGCACACCAUGUUAAAAGGGAGGAGAGGGAUAUGUGAAAUGAUUGUUGUAUUGCUUGAGCUUAGGAGUAUAAUGAUCAACUUAAAGUACAAAAUAAGAUAGAAUAAGUCCUAACUUAUCUUAUGCUUUUUCUAAUAAUCAAUAUACUCGAACCAUACUAUCUCUAACUAAAACACGGUAUAGUGGAUAGUUUUAUCCAGGGAACAUCAUCGAACAUCUCCAAAUGAUAGACAAGAACACAUUGCCAGAAGUAUCAUAGACACGAGUGGGCCACCACCCCCGUCGCCCACUUGUGCUGGGUAGAUUCCGGGAGCCCCCUAGCAAAAAGAAAAAAAGAAGAAGAGGAAAGGAAUAGCAUCGCCACCUCCGGACAUGCGUGUGCGAUUCCACCCAGUAGCAAGCGAGCCCGCAGCAGAUCCCCGUCCCACUUGUCCGCCCCCGCAUUAUCUUAAUAUUAUUCUGGUCCACUACCCGCCACAUCUCCCACCAGCCACAUUUGAUCCCCCCCUCCCCCUCCCCUCCCCCACCAUAUGGCACCCCAGCUCCCGCUGCCUCCCCUCCUCCUCUCCCCGUCCCGUCGCCGCCUCCUCACCCGCCGCCGCCGCCGACGCACCGCACCUCAACCAGCAGCGGCCUGAAGGGAGGGAGCGCGCGAGCGGUGCGGCAUGGACAUCGACCCUUCCUCCGUCUCCCACGCGGACGGCGGGGGCGACCUGUGGCCCUUCGACUCGCUCACCACGUCCCUCUUCUUCUCCUCCGUCUCCUCCUCCCCGCCGCUCCACCCGCUGCCCGUCGCCUCCUCCUCGUGGCUUACCCCGCCCUCGCCGCUCUGGCUCUUCGACGACCGCCAGAUGAUGCCCAUCGAGGUGGGCCCUGCGCCCGCCGCGGCGCCGGACAACACUGCCGCCGUCGCCGCCGCCGUCGCGGAGGAGGUCUGCCACCGAGCCCGCUCCGGUAAGCCUCAUCAUACCUCGCUUCAUCGCUUGGUAUCGAUCCUUGCUUCGUCUGCUGCUUCCUGGAUCGUACGGGACGUUCAUUAGAGGGGUUCGUGAUUUUGUUCUCCUAUUUCUGGCUUGGCCUGCCGACGGAAUCUUUCUGCUCCAGAGCUGGAACAGAGGGGCAGCUGGAAUCUUGCUGUUAUCCUAGUCCUUAUCUUCUCUGUACGAUCCGCGAAGUUUCCCAGCUUUGCGUUUGACUUUUUUGGGGGGCUCCUUUUGGCACGUUUCUCGGCUGCAUAUGAUUCGGCUCAUAAAUCUCUCGGGGAAAUAGUAGAAUAUUUCUGCUUGCUAAUCCAAACAAGGCGGAUAAAAUGUUGUAAAGCUUCAUCAGCUUUGUUGCAGUGAUAGGCUUGCCGUGUUUAAUUAGUGUGAACAAGCCCGGCUUUCCGUCUGGGUCUGACUACGUGGGGGUAAUGCGUGCUUUCUUAUGCAAAUGAUUGGAAAAAUAUUGGUUGAUAGCUUAUUGGAUUCCACUAGGCGUAUGGAGGUACUUUCCAAUUACUGUAUUAUUACUAUAUAUAUGCAUACAGAAAGGGUGUCAUUUUCUUGUGCUAUUGUUGCAUGAGUCAUUUACUUUACCCAGUGCCGUAUACUGCUUUUUUGCGGUGCCCCUUAUUAGUGGUGGUAUGAUGCCUCUAAAGCGGUAUUUAGUACUAGAUAUACAUUAGUGGUGGGGUAUGACGCACAUACUAGAUUGUAUUCAAAGUUGAAGCUGUUGGAUAAGGCCUUACUUUGUCUCAUUACAUUAUUGUUAGUAUUUUUACAAGGGAGACAAUGAGAUGUACUUUGCCGUGCUAAAUAAACUAGGACCUCUCCAUUUCGUUGGUUGGUGUUUCAAGAAAUGCGCUUGGCUUGAUGAUUGUGUGUGUGCUACUGUUGAUUUGUUUCACUUUACUGUAAGCAUCCAUGCGUUGCAGUUAACAAACUUUAUGGCUUUUCGGCAACAUAUUUUCCGUUCAUGAAAUAGGUAUCGCUUGUCACAUAUUUACAUGAGCGUAAUGUGUUAGACUGGAUGGAUGAUUCAUAGAUAAUUGUAUUGCUAAUUUAAUGGCAUUCCUUUCUUAUUUAUUAUGUUCCUAGCCACAUUUCCCUUACAAUACUGCAUUCCAUUCUGCUAACUAGGGAAUUCGGACACGCCAAUUAAGAAGACCGAACGUCUUAACAACAAAUGGCAAUUUAACCUAGCUCUGCAUGACGAUAGCACGAACAGCUCAUGCUUGUUCAAGGAGAAGCUGACUCAUGCUCUCAGGUACUUCAAGGAGUCAACAGAUCAACACUUGUUGGUCCAGGUUUGGGCGCCGGUUAAGAGUGGAGAUCGCUAUGUGCUUACUACAUCAGGACAACCCUUUGUACUUGACCACCAGAGCAUUGGGCUGCUUCAGUACAGGGCUGUAUCCAUGAUGUACAUGUUUUCAGUAGACGGAGAUAAUGCUGGAGAGCUUGGAUUACCUGGGCGUGUCUACAAGCAAAAGGUGCCUGAGUGGACACCAAAUGUGCAGUAUUAUAGCAGCACCGAGUACCCACGCCUUAACCAUGCCAUCAGUUACAACGUUCAUGGUACUGUUGCCUUGCCUGUUUUUGAUCCUUCUGUUCAAUCAUGUAUUGCUGUCGUUGAACUUAUAAUGACAUCGAAGAAGAUAAACUAUGCUGAUGAGGUCGAUAAAGUCUGCAAAGCUCUUGAGGUUAGUGUUUUCUUUGUCCCAUCACGUUUCUUUUAUGUCACAUGAGGCAUUGCUUGGAUAUGUAGAUUGUGGACAUUAUAUUCUUAGCAAUAAUAUUUGUGCUAUAUGCAGGCAGUAAAUCUUAAAAGCACCGAGAUAUUGGAGCAUCCAAAUGUUCAGGUUAGCAUCCAACCAAUAGGAACAGUAACAGUUGCUGUUUUUACUAUGGGGGGUUGAUUUAUGUGUUUCUUUGUUGUGUACUCAGAUUUGCAAUGAAGGCCGUCAAUCUGCCCUGGUGGAGAUACUGGAGAUCCUGACAGUUGUAUGUGAAGAGCACAAGCUUCCUUUAGCACAAACGUGGGUUCCUUGCAAGUAUCGAAGUGUGUUGGCGCAUGGUGGUGGUGUUAAGAAAAGUUGCUUGAGCUUUGAUGGAAGUUGCAUGGGGGAAGUCUGCAUGUCAACCAGUGAUGUGGCAUUUCAUGUGAUUGAUGCUCAUAUGUGGGGAUUCCGAGAUGCCUGUGUAGAACAUCACCUACAAAAGGGACAGGGAGUUUCUGGCAAGGCGUUUAUCUAUCACAGACCUUGCUUUUCGAAAGAUAUCAGUCAGUUUUGUAAGCUGGAAUACCCCCUAGUGCACUAUGCUCGUAUGUUUGGAUUGGCUGGCUGCUUUGCUAUAUGUUUACAAAGUCCUUAUACUGGUGAUGAUUAUUAUAUGCUGGAGUUUUUCCUGCCACCCAGUUGUAAAGAUGAAGAUGAUCAGAAUGCCUUGUUGGAGUCUAUAUUAGGCCUGAUCAAUCAGUGUCUCCGUAAUCUAAAGGUAGCUGGUAACGGAGAAUCCAACGAAGCUUCUCUUCAACUUAGCAAUGUCAUAAGGAUUGAAAAUGAAGAUUUCAAGACAGUGCAUUUUGAGAACUCUGAAGGUUUUCAUGAGUCACCUGAAGGUGAUACACAUGGAGGAGCCCACGAGUUCGAUAAAGGGAAUAGUAAAGUAUCAGAGGGACAUUUGUUGGCUGAUGAUAACUCUCAGAACAAUGGCACAUCUGUCUCCAGGCCAAAUGGUAGCGCUGCUUCUGAUUCUUCAUUGCUUCACAAAAACAGCAAACCCCCUGAAAGGAGACGGGGAAAAGCUGAAAAAACAAUCAGCCUAGAAGUUCUUCAGCAAUAUUUUUCUGGAAGCCUGAAAAAUGCAGCAAAAAGCCUCGGUGGUACGCUUCUAAUAUUUACCCUUUUAAGUUGACAGUUCCUCAGUUUUUUUAGUCUUGCUCUUUCUGAUUGCUAGCUUCCUUUAUUUAUAAAUCCUUUUUUUUCCUUUUACCCGUUUGCUUCUUAAUGUAAAAGAGAGUAGAUGCAUAAUGCAUUGAACGUUUAAUCUUGCAACUGUAAUAACCCUGUUGGGUUCACUAUUGGAUCUUGGCAUUAGCUAAUUAUUUUUCCGAUUUGACAGUGUGUCCCACAACCAUGAAGCGCAUCUGCAGGCAACAUGGGAUUUCUCGUUGGCCAUCCCGAAAAAUCAACAAGGUCAACCGGUCUCUCUCGAAGUUAAAGCAAGUAAUUGAGUCUGUUCAAGGCUCAGACGCGGCAUUUAAUCUGACAUCUAUCACAGGCCCUCUCCCUACUAUUCCCGUUGGUCCUUCAUCAGAUUCUUUCAAUAAGGAGAAAGCAAGUGAAAGUAAAGCAGAACAUUCAAAUCGUGCUGUUGACGGUGACAGAGAUUCAUCUUUACAAAAGUCACAAGAAAAUGGUAGCCACUUUGGUGGACUCAUGUCCCAGCAAGGGUUUGCAGACACUGGCAACAAUGCUCAACUUGAAGCAGACAAAGCUUCUCUCUCGAGAAGCUCAUCGGGAGAAGGCAGUAUAAAUUCACGCACUUCGGAGGGCUCAUGUCAGGGAAGCCCCGCAAACCAGACAUUUGUUUGCCAGCCUAUUGCUUCAAUGUUCUUGGAACCACAAGAACCACAACCGAAUCCGGAAGGGUUCACAAAAGAACCUUUCCAAGAACCAGAGCUACCACUUUCCAGGAUGCUCAUUGAGGAUUCUGGUAGUUCCAAGGAUUUGAAGAAUCUCUUCGGUUCAGCAAUUGGCCAACCAAUGUUAGCGCCUCCCAGCAAUUUUGGGCCAAUGCGAAAUUCAGGUACUGUGACGAUAAAGGCGAGCUUUAAGGAAGACAUUGUAAGGUUCCGCUUCCCGUGUUCUAGCAGCGUUAUGGCAUUGAAAGAUGAGGUUGCCAAAAGGCUGAGGAUGGAUGCUGGCAUGUUUGAUAUCAAGUACCUUGACGAUGAUCACGAGUGGGUGAAGUUGGCUUGCAAUGCGGACUUGGAAGAAUGCAUAGAAAUCUCCCGGCAUUCUGGUACCCAUGUUAUCAGGCUAUUGGUUAGCGAUGUCGCGGCCCACAUUGGUAGUUCUUGUGGAAGCUCCGGUUGAUACCCAGAUCAACAUUUUUAACUUUUUUUUUCAAUGGGUAUGUACAAGUUGUUCCAGGAGGUCAGUUUUUACAUGUUGUUAAGCUAGUCGUGUUGCUAGAUAGCAUUAGCAGCUUUACUGUGUUCGACUGAAGCACCAAUUUUUUUUCUUGUAAGAAUAUGUGUAACGUUGCAAGAUGCGCGUGUUGUCGAUGAUGUACAUAUUUAGCACGUGGUGCAGGAAGUCCUGGGGGUACAGUUAAGAACUGAAGUUGUUGUAAUAUGACACUUUUGUUGUGCCGAAAUUGAACAGUUUUGGAAGUUAGUUCCUUUUAUUCACUUCUGUUAUUCACUUUCGGUUCCUCUUGAGUUUGAGGUUUUUUGAGUCUUUGUUUGGUUCAUUGUCCCCUGUUGUGAAAACUUAUUUUUUUCCGAGGAAAAUAAGUUUAACUUUCAUUGUAUUUUCAGAAACACAUAAACAUGAGCUAUUUUGUUCUCCCUCAGUACUAUAAUAAAAGGGAAACUCUUACCUUCCACCGGCGGAUCCAAAUAAACUGUCCACCGCUUCCUCGUCCGUCGGAUCUUACUCCAUCUAACCCCGCAUCAAUCGAUUUCUGAAACUGGAGCACAGUUUCUGAAACUGAGCAGUUGUUUCAGAGAAACUGUCCAGUCCGUGCCUCCGCCCCGACGACCUCG
This 11503-nucleotide long non-coding RNA is filed under the name Hordeum vulgare. RNAcentral describes it as "long non-coding RNA (HVUL_LNC007512)". The record is from RNAcentral. Lineage: Eukaryota; Viridiplantae; Streptophyta; Magnoliopsida; Poales; Poaceae.